Molecule: long non-coding RNA, 768 nt
Filed under: Anolis carolinensis (green anole)
Lineage: Eukaryota; Metazoa; Chordata; Lepidosauria; Squamata; Anolidae
Description: lncRNA (ENSACAG00000045501.1)
Source: RNAcentral
AAACCACAGAGCAGAUAAUCCAGAAUGUUGGAUAAGUGAGUGUUGGAUAAGUGAGACUCUAUGAGGUAAAAUCACUGAAAUAAUGAAAUAAAAGUAUAUUGGUUGUGAAUGAAGGCUAUAAAGACUAUGUGAGGUAAGCACAAGCUAUGAGGUAAGUACUUUUCUAUAUUAGUAAGCACUAGGCUAUAAGGUGAGGUAAGUACACAAAGCUAUGAUGGUAAAUACUGUAGGCUAUAAUAACUAUGUGGUAAGCACGUGAUAUAGGUUGCCUGUUUGGUUUGCCGGGCCAAAAAAAAAAACACAGACAAUUCUCUGACCAAACUCUAAGAAGUUUUGAUCUGGAAUUAAAUUGGAGGGAAAAUGCCUGUAGAGAUUAGCAUUCAGGCUGCAGGGCUGAACCAUCUUACCCAAACCUAGAGGGGAGUUUUAAGCUCCACCCCUAAAAUAAGAGCGAAUGGAACAGUCCACCCAAGAGCAACAAACCAGGAAAUGAGCAGGGGAGAGAAAAACUAAGUAAGACAUCACACACUCUUUAAGGUGGUACUCUCAUUCUGUGAAUUUGUGCUCUCCCACUGAAGAUUGCUUCUAUUACACUCAAAGCUCAGGAAUAAAAUGAUGGAGAGAUUGCCAGUGGAAGCAGAGGAAGCACCAACCAGCAAUAAGGAAAGACGUAACAUAAGCCAAAAUUCAUGGUGUAGCAGGAGCAACUUGAGAAACUGCAAGUCACUUCUGGUGUGAGAGAAUUGACCAUCUGCAAAGACGUUGCCC